RNAcentral lists this ribosomal RNA (379 nucleotides) under uncultured bacterium. RNAcentral's name for it is "bacterial SSU rRNA". It matches the Rfam family "Bacterial small subunit ribosomal RNA", at positions 521 to 896 of the family's 1533-position model. The record is from RNAcentral.
UAAGACGUAGGGGGCGAGCGUUGUCCGGAUUUAUUGGGCGUAAAGAGCGCGUAGGCGGCCCGUUAAGUCGGAUGUGAAAACCCGUGGCUCAACCACGGGCCUGCAUCCGAUACUGGCGGGCUCGAGGCAGGCAGGGGAGAUCGGAAUUCCUGGUGUAGCGGUGAAAUGCGCAGAUAUCAGGAGGAACACCGGUGGCGAAGGCGGAUCUCUGGGCCUGUCCUGACGCUCAGGCGCGAAAGCUAGGGGAGCAAACAGGAUUAGAUACCCUGGUAGUCCUAGCCGUAAACGUUGGGUGCUAGGUGUGGGGCGGCGAUUGACCCGCUCUGUGCCGAAGCUAACGCAUUAAGCACCCCGCCUGGGGAGUACGGCCGCAAGGUUA